This 557-nucleotide long non-coding RNA is filed under the name Homo sapiens (human). RNAcentral describes it as "long non-coding RNA NONHSAT198297.1". The record is from RNAcentral. Lineage: Eukaryota; Metazoa; Chordata; Mammalia; Primates; Hominidae.
GGCGGCGGGAAGAUGCCGCUCUUUGGCGUAAAUUGCAAUCGAUUAGGGAUCGUUUCUCAGAAUCAAGUUAGAAGUGAGAGUUCAGAUAAGUGAGGCCGCCAUUGCUGCUUUGAACACCUCAGAAGGGGAGAAUGGAUUUAUCAGGAGUGAAAAAGAAGAGCUUGCUGGGAGUCAAAGAAAAUAAUAAAAAGUCCAGCACUAGGGCCCCUUCACCUACCAAACGCAAAGACCGCUCAGAUGAGAAGUCCAAGGAUCGCUCAAAAGAUAAAGGGGCCACCAAGGAGUCGAGUGAGAAGGAUCGCGGCCGGGACAAAACGCGAAAGAGGCACAGCGCUUCCAGUGGUAGCAGCAGUACCAGGUCUCGGUCCAGCUCGACUUCCAGCUCAGGCUCCAGCACCAGCACUGGCUCAAGCAGUGGCUCCAGCUCUUCCUCAGCCUCCAGCCGCUCAGGAAGCUCCAGCACCUCCCGCAGCUCCAGCUCUAGCAGCUCUUCUGGCUCUCCAAGUCCUUCUCGGCGCAGACACGACAACAGGAGGCGCUCCCGCUCCAAAUCCAAA